Molecule: ribosomal RNA, 460 nt
Filed under: uncultured bacterium
Lineage: Bacteria
Description: partial 16S ribosomal RNA
Rfam family: Bacterial small subunit ribosomal RNA
Source: RNAcentral
CCUACGGGCGGCAGCAGUGAGGAAUAUUGGUCAAUGGACGAGAGUCUGAACCAGCCAAGUAGCGUGAAGGAUGACUGCCCUAUGGGUUGUAAACUUCUUUUAUAUGGGAAUAAAAUGUUCCACGUGUGGGAUUUUGUAUGUACCAUAUGAAUAAGGAUCGGCUAACUCCGUGCCAGCAGCCGCGGUAAUACGGAGGAUCCGAGCGUUAUCCGGAUUUAUUGGGUUUAAAGGGAGCGUAGGUGGAUUGUUAAGUCAGUUGUGAAAGUUUGCGGCUCAACCGUAAAAUUGCAGUUGAAACUGGCAGUCUUGAGUGCGGUAGAGGUGGGCGGAAUUCGUGGUGUAGCGGUGAAAUGCUUAGAUAUCACGAAGAACUCCGAUUGCGAAGGCAGUUCACUGGACUGCAACUGACACUGAGGCUCGAAAGUGUGGGUAUCAAACAGGAUUAGAUACCCCUGUAGUC